UCGGGAAUUUUGGGCAAUGGGCGAAAGCCUGACCCAGCAACGCCGCGUGAAGGAUGAAGUCUUUCGGGAUGUAAACUUCGUAAGAAUAGGAAGAAUAAAUGACGGUACUAUUUGUAAGGUCCGGCUAACUACGUGCCAGCAGCCGCGGUAAUACGUAGGGACCAAGCGUUGUUCGGAUUUACUGGGCGUAAAGGGCGCGUAGGCGGUUUGUCAAGUCAGUUGUGAAAUCUCCGAGCUUAACUCGGAACGGUCAACUGAUACUGUCAAACUAGAGUACAGAAGGGGCAAUCGGAAUUCUUGGUGUAGCGGUGAAAUGCGUAGAUAUCAAGAGGAACACCUGAGGUGAAGACGGGUUGCUGGGCUGAUACUGACGCUGAGGCGCGAAAGCUAGGGUAGCAAAC
This 401-nucleotide ribosomal RNA is filed under the name uncultured bacterium. RNAcentral's name for it is "bacterial SSU rRNA". It matches the Rfam family "Bacterial small subunit ribosomal RNA", at positions 355 to 773 of the family's 1533-position model. The record is from RNAcentral.